GAUGAAGAACGUAGCGAAAUGCGAUAAGUAAUGUGAAUUGCAGAAUUCAGUGAAUCAUCGAGUUUUUGAACGCAUAUUGCGCCCUCUGGUAUUCCUUAGGGCAUGCCUGUUCGAGCGUCAUUUAAACCUUCAAGCUAAGCUUGGUGUUGGGUGACUGUCCGCUUCACGGCGGACUCGCCUCAAAAUUAUUGGCGGCCGGUACAUUGGCUUCGAGCGCAGCAGAAACGCGAACUCGGGCCCGUCGUAUUGGCUCCCAGAAGCUAUCUUCACAAUUUUGACCUCGGAUCAGGUAGGGAUACCCGCUGAACUUAAGCAUAUCAAUAAGCGGAGGA
Molecule: unclassified non-coding RNA, 332 nt
Filed under: soil metagenome
Description: partial contains 5.8S ribosomal RNA, internal transcribed spacer 2, and large subunit ribosomal RNA
Rfam family: 5.8S ribosomal RNA (bases 1-120)
Source: RNAcentral